GCUUUUCUCCUUUUCUUUCUGUUGGUUUAAGAUUUCUUUUCUAACAAGUCAGUUUCUGCUAAUUUUGCAUUUAGAACAAGCAAAACAACUAAAACACUCUGAUUUUUUAAGACUUAACUCUUACAGAAUAUUCAACUGCUUGCCGUCGUUCGCAGAACUAACAAUGAAAAUAAAUUGCCUGUUCCAAUGCAAAAAUAAUUUUUGAAUACUAUUUCAUAAAAAAAAAAAAGUUGCUAGUACUUUUUAUUUUCUAACAAGUCACCUUUUUUUCUAAAUGCUAAAUAAGGUUAAAUAAUUACUAAAUCACUCUUGUGCUAUAAAUAAAAUUAAAAGUAGACGACUUAAAUAAGAUUGCAAUACAUCACCACCAGCCCAUUCCAGCAAAGCUAUAAAAUACCCAAAUACUUGGGAAUCUUAAAGUUACAAAAUACCAGACGGGCAAUAAGCAUAUGUAUAGCCUAUAAAAGAACAAGAAAGUAGGCCUUGUUUAAAAUAUAGACCAUGAUUCUAUAAACUUUUUGUUCCAAAUUUUACAACUUGCACCAAAUGGUUUUUGUGCUUGAUUCUUGGCUUUACCAACUCUCCCUAUCAUUUGUUUCAAUUAAGCAUGAAUUUUUGUCACCCUUCAUCAUCUUUAUCAUAGAUACGUUGGCCAUGUUCAGCUACUUUUUGUACAUGCUUGAUGCUCCAUGUGGUUUGGAAUUAGGUUUGCUAAGCAUUGAAUUCAAUUUUUCUGCUUUAGUAGUUUAGGUUGGCGUAUAGAUGAACCUGAUUACCUUUAUGCUUUUGUUUGUUUUGAGGGAAGUGAAUGGAAAAGAGAAGAAAAGAAUUUCCUUUCAUUUCCAUUGCACAAUUAAGGAAUCAAACAAAGGCCUAGUAAAGUGUCUUUAAAAGAAAUUUAAUUGAAUACUUUCUGUGAAAUCACAUUCUUAUGGAUGUGUCAUCAGGCGCAGAAUAAGUUCAUCCCAAUGUAUGUGUUGACUGUUUUUUCAUCUUUACCUACAUUGAACCUACAAUGAAAUUGUAUGAUGACCUAGUCUUCAGCAUCACUUUUUAUGCAACUGAAAUAAUAAUAAUAGUGGAGAUAUCGAGUGUAAUUGCAUUACUCCUAAGGAAAAUGUAUUCAUUAGACUGAUUGAGAAACCUAUUUAAAUGUGUUAACCUGUUCCACAUUGGUAUGAAUAUUCAAUAACAAUCAAAUAGGUUCAAAUGCUAAUGCUUGUGAAGAUCAAUUUUAGGUUUCUGAAACAUUUAUGAGUUGAACUUUUGACACAAACAUAUAUAUUUUACACAUGUUUCUGCGCUUUUAACUGUUGCGACUUGAUCACUUGCUCAGGGUCUUAAAAAGGCAGAUCAG
Molecule: unclassified non-coding RNA, 1357 nt
Filed under: Hevea brasiliensis (rubber tree)
Lineage: Eukaryota; Viridiplantae; Streptophyta; Magnoliopsida; Malpighiales; Euphorbiaceae
Source: RNAcentral